CCUACGGGAGGCUGCAGUGGGGAAUUUUGGACAAUGGGGGCAACCCUGAUCCAGCCAUGCCGCGUGCGGGAAGAAGGCCUUCGGGUUGUAAACCGCUUUUGUCGGGGAAGAAAUCCUCUGGGCUAAUACCUCGGGGGCAUGACGGUACCCGGAGAAUAAGCACCGGCUAACUACGUGCCAGCAGCAGCGGUAAUACGUAGGGUGCAAGCGUUAAUCGGAACGUGCGGACGCAAACCUGGAAGAGAGAUGUGAAAUCCCCGGGCUCAACCUGGGAACUGCAGUUGUGACUGCAAGGCUGGAGUGCGGCAGAGGGGGAUGGAAUUCCGCGUGUAGCAGUGAAAUGCGUAGAUAUGCGGAGGAACACCGAUGGCGAAGGCAAUCCCCUGGGCCUGCACUGACGCUCAUGCACGAAAGCGUGGGGAGCAAACAGGAUUAGAUACCCCUGUAGUC
This 450-nucleotide ribosomal RNA is filed under the name uncultured bacterium. RNAcentral describes it as "partial 16S ribosomal RNA". It matches the Rfam family "Bacterial small subunit ribosomal RNA", at positions 338 to 795 of the family's 1533-position model. The record is from RNAcentral.